UUAAAAGCCCUGCUGAAAAAACAUGUAAACUAUAACAGCCACGAAAACACAUUGGACUUUUGAUACCAUCAAGGUAAAUUACAUACUAGCAAGAUUGUUGCUUGAAUGCAGGACCAGGCAUACAUAGAUGAGACAACGGAGAUGCUCAAAAUCCUGGUAGUUCUAGAUUUUUGGACUAUUGUCUUUAUUUUGCAAAUUUGGCUAGUGACAACCUUGUAAACCUUUGCUAACGUCUAACGUUACAUGUCAGCUUUCGAACAGAGUAGACUUUAAUGUGCACGUUCACUUUUUGAAUAUUUAUAUUCCUUCAAAGCUACCUAAAUGUGACUUAUCGGCUAGUACUGAAGCAGGACAUGUUUUUGAGUUCCGUUUUUAGCCCAAAGCCUUGUAUUUAAGCAAAACAACAACUUAAGAAGGGAACCAUGAAGAGGAGCUUGGAGUGGGCAAGGGGGAUGCUGAUAAAGCAGCAGAGAAGACCUGAUUCAUCAAGUAUCAAUUAAUUCUGGUGAUUCUCACCUGGUUGGCAUGCAUGCACAACAUGACAAGGUGUACAACAUUAAGCCCAAUCAAAUAUCCAAUGUUAUUCAAACAUGUAUCCCAAUUUACAGUCAAGCAACGUUUGUCAGCUGUGUUAAUGUUAUGAACUACAAACAAUCUAUGGUUCUUGGAGUCAAUGAAUCAAUUGAAAGGGACUACAAUUAGACAUUUUUAAACUGUGCCAGUAAAGAUGACAAAGUCAUCUGCUCUUAUGGUUAUGUUUACGUUUUUUCCAGACACUUCAAUCUGACACUCUUGUUAAUGUUUGACGUCAGGCAAAACAUCUUCAGCCACUGUAGGACGGAGAGCCGCUGGUUGGCAUUUGACUGCAGUGUCUGUGGGUGUACCAGGAAAGGACGUUAGAAGUUAGGUCCCUAUGAUAUCAAUGCUUCUUACCAUCUCCACUGCAGCCCAGUCGAUAUCAAUUUAAAAAAACUGGAACAAUAGAUAGUGUAGCACAAUGUACAACUCCAGUUUGCCUAUUGUCCCAACAAAUGUCAAUUAUACAUUUUUACAUACGUCAGAGUGCAUUUUAUUUUAUAGCUCUGCUUUCAACGCCAUCCUGACCCACAAACUGGUUUGCAGACUCAGGGCUCUGGGUGUAAAUCCUGUAAUAACAAAUUUCGAUUUUUUACAUUAUCAUAAGAAUGUGUAUCCCCAGAAUUGACGUGACACUACCAUGGUACACAUGAGUACAUGAAGGAGCUGUGGGACCCAACACUACCAUGGUACACAUGAGUACAUGAAGCAGCUCUGGGACCUGACACUACCAUGGUACACAUGAGUACAUGAAGGAGCUGUGGGACCCGACACUACCAUGGUACACAUGAGUACAUGAAGGAGCUGUGGGACCCGACACUACCAUGGUACACAUGAGUACAUGAAGGAGCUGUGGGACCUGACAUAAUGAUGAUAGGACAACAGUCUCAGCGUAAACAAAACAAAGUACAUGGUGAUACUUGACCAUUCUCCCAUCUACUGUACAUUGACAUGGAGAUGAUCAGCAGCUUCAAGUUCCUGGGCACCCUGAUAUCCUUUUCUGCCUUCAGUUACUUCACUCAAAGUCCCACUUGUGCUUCUCCACUACCCUCAAACUUGCUCCACCACGACCUAUGUACCAACUACAGUGUCUUUUAUUGCCAUUACACAUGUAAAUGAAAUGUACAUAUUUACGGUAGGAUUUAUUUAUGGUAACAUUGCACAUAUUGUAACAGUCCCUUGACAUACAUGACUUAACUAUGCAUAAUGCUCAGUUUACCCACUAAGAAAUCAUACAUUUAUUAAAUCUGCAUUAUUUAUUACUGUGUCCAAUUGAUUCUGGUUGGUUGUAAUGUUUUUGAAAACUUUCACUGCACAACUUUUUUUGCUGAUGGACAAUCCGGUCGGAAACUUUAAUAAUAUCAAUUCUUUUGGGACACAUCACCAAUUAACAUUGGCUGCAGUAUUCCGAACUUACUAGGUAGUCAUGCAAUAAACGUUUUGGAUAAUUCCCCUUAAAUGAAUUCUUUAAAUCAAAUUGAAUUUGUCACAUGCGCCAAAUACAACAGUGAAAUGCUUAUUUAAAAACCCUUAACCAAAAAUGCAGUUUAAAAAAAACGACAAAAAGAGUAAAUAAUUAAAGAGCAUCAGUAAAAUAACAAUAGCGAGGCUAUAUACUGUACAGGGGAUACCGGUACAGGGAAUGUUCGGGGGCACCGGUUAGUCAAGUUAAUAUAUAUAUAUGUAGGUAGAGAUAUUAAAGUGACUAUGCAUAGAUAGUAGCAGCAAAUAGUCUGGGUAGCCAUUUGAUUAGAUGUUCAGUAGUCUUAUGGCUUGGGGGUAGAAUCUGUUUAGAAGCCUCUUGGACAUAGACUUGGCGCUCCGGUACCACUUGCUGUGUGGUAGCAGAUAGAACUGUAGCUGUGGCUCCACUGGCAAUCCCAGCCUAGGAAUGCUGAAACCCCCGAAGUGAAAAUGAAAACCUUCUCCAUGGAGAAGGGUAUGUGUUCCCCCUGAAAAAAAGGGAAGGGGGGGUCAUUAAAGUCCAUAAGUAACACUUGUUGGAGAGCACAAUACUCUAAGUGAAGGUAGUUUGGGAUUUCAUUUAUCCAUUACAUUCUUAGGGGGACCAUGGAAGAAUAAGGCUAUAAAAUGCUGUCCCACAGUUGUGAGAGUGAUUAGGUGAUGUUUUACUGAUGUGGGCCGUGUUACUUCAAUGAUCAUGGUUUUGCAUCUAACCUUCCACCUCCAGAAGCCAGUCCCCCCAGAAACAUAUGACUCUUCUCUCUAUUGCUCUUUGAUUGGUACCAUGUGGAGAGCACUCUGCUUUGAAGAGAGAAGCUAUGUCUGGCCAAAAGAGGUUUCUCAGCGUAGAUGAAACACUCUCUGAAGAGGCUUCAGUGUCUAUUCAUGUAAGGCAGGAGACCUAGACACUCCAGACCUCUUUGAAUCUAUAAAGUAAAAAAAGUCAAUGAAUUAACCCUGAAGAAUUUAACUAAACUUGAGACUCACUACUCAAGAGCAUCCCAUAUCCUGCUUUCUAAGUAGAACUUUGUGGCUGACUCCACCAUGGCAUCCCUCUCCAAUGUACGAAUGUAUCGCACUGGACCCAACUCGACCGCUUCCUGUGCCUCGUCAACAGUUUGUGCUAACUGGAUCUUAAAUUGUUUGUUUAUUGAACAGUGUUUUGGGAAAAAUUAGCAAAAUAAACUGAUUAUCACUACCCUUAAAAAACAUUGACUGCCAACAAAAGGAAACCAAAUCCAUGUGGAAAAGUCUUCAUGAACAUCUACAACCCUAAUAUUUUUUUUCGAACUUAGUGCAAAUGAACAGUAACAUAGCAUCCAUCACAGUAUAAAGUACUUACCUUCUCCAACUUCUCUCUUAAGUUAUAUUCCACCAUUUCUUUCAUUUCUGGCACAGGAGGUUGUAGGCCAUAUACUUGCCUGUAUAGCCUCUGAAAAAAUGUGUCUUUACACCCCCAUGUACUAGACAGACAGCAAUCAUGUGGCCCACCUGCUUGUAUACGCCAUCAUAGAGUGCUGUCACACAGAAGACAAACAGUAAAUAAAGGACACAUUACAUACAAAAAUCAAAUGUCUUACUCAAGUCAUAUAUAUUGCCAUAAACAAACGUGUCUUUGUUGGUGUAAAAGUGUAACUCACCUUGAGAGUUGCAAGAAAGGCAUUUUUGCCAAUCAGGUCCCUCAAAUAUUGCAAAGGAAUGGAUGGCACUCAUUAGCAGCCAGAGAAAUUCUCUUGAGGGACCACCCUCAUCAGCUGCCCCUUUUCCGUCACCAUCCCUAAAAACCAUGUCUAUUUUUGCCUCCGGAUUAAAGCGGGCUCUCUUAAAGCCUCUCAUUGCACAAUCAUAAACGUUGUCCCUCAUCACGUUAAUUCGGUUGGCAUCUCAUUAACUUCAGCAGUGUUUGGAGGUCAACACUAAAAGAGACAUUCAGAAUAACAAAGCUCAGAUACUUCCCACAAUUCAUCUGUAAUAACAAGACAUUUAAUUGUUUACAGGGAUGACAUACUCAUUGUCAUCACCAACAUCAACAGAAGAGUGUGGUGAAGGUGGACGAUAAGCCUCAGGGAAUGGUGGAGGGGGGCCACAAGAAGUGGUGCAGAAGAUGGGGGGGCCACAGGAAUAGGUGCUGCCACAAGUGUAGCCUCGUUUGUAGAAGUAGUCUGUAAAAGGUCAUUUAAAGGCUUAUACAUUUCAAAAACAUGGAGAAAGGAAUAAAGCUGUCAAACAUAAUGUGAUUGCGUUCUGAAAACGAUUUACAGAAAUAAAAUGUAGCCGCAUGCAUCACUCACUAUAGAAUGUAAUCAAUGUGUAGGUCCAGAAGACUAUAGAAUGUAAUCAAUGUGUAGGUCCAGAAGACUAUAGAAUGUAAUCAAUGUGUAGGUCCAGAAGACGUUUUAAGGAUGCAUGUUGCUCUAUUUUUUAAAUAAUAUUUUCAAUAUGUAUUACAUUCAUCAAGCAGACAGUGUUGUUUUCUCCUCAAUGGUCCGUCCUAACUCUGGAGGGAACGCCAUAUCUGGAGACAGCAUUUAUGAAGCAAUCCAUUACAGUACUGCUGCGAUU
RNAcentral lists this long non-coding RNA (4602 nucleotides) under Salmo salar (Atlantic salmon). RNAcentral's name for it is "lncRNA (ENSSSAG00000099208.1, ENSSSAG00000108678.1)". Lineage: Eukaryota; Metazoa; Chordata; Actinopteri; Salmoniformes; Salmonidae. The record is from RNAcentral.